This 420-nucleotide ribosomal RNA is filed under the name bacterium gwi64. RNAcentral's name for it is "bacterial SSU rRNA". It matches the Rfam family "Bacterial small subunit ribosomal RNA", at positions 33 to 499 of the family's 1533-position model. The record is from RNAcentral.
ACGCUGGCGGCAGGCUUAACACAUGCAAGUCGAACGCACCUUUCGGGGUGAGUGGCAGACGGGUGAGUAACGCGUGGGAACGUGCCCUUCAGUUCGGAAUAACCCAGGGAAACUUGGGCUAAUACCGGAUACGUGCGAGAGCAGAAAGAUUUAUCGCUGAAGGAUCGGCCCGCGUCUGAUUAGCUUGUUGGUGAGGUAAUGGCUCACCAAGGCGACGAUCAGUAGCUGGUCUGAGAGGAUGAUCAGCCACAUUGGGACUGAGACACGGCCCAAACUCCUACGGGAGGCAGCAGUGGGGAAUAUUGGACAAUGGGCGCAAGCCUGAUCCAGCCAUGCCGCGUGAGUGAUGAAGGCCUUAGGGUUGUAAAGCUCUUUCGUCCGGGACGAUAAUGACGGUACCGGAAGAAGAAGCCCCGGCUA